UCUGGGCUACUGCUUUCUCUGCGAUAUGGCGGCCUGCAAACUUCAUGUUAUCUGCAACUUUAUGCCCCCUCGUUUGAGUUUAGCCAACUGCUUGAAAAAUUCUGACAGGAUAACUUAUACCUUAUCCGAUGACUUGUCACAUCAAUUUCAGUUCACAAUGGAGACAUAUGGAGCCCCUGUCUCUGGGAUUCAGGGUUUUCUUUAUGCUGAAACUACUGCACACUGAGCAAGUACAACUUGUGAAAAUAAAUAUUAUAUUAAUGAGAUCAAUGAACUGACUGGUGGAGUUGAGCUGUUAGAAAAUGUGCGUGUAAGGAGCAAGGGUACAAUUCUGCAGCUUUUCCCUGUACAGUCUUUAAAUACACUGACCUCUUCCAAUAAAGCUUUCUAAACAUGGCA
Xenopus tropicalis (tropical clawed frog) is the source of this 399-nucleotide long non-coding RNA. RefSeq lists it as uncharacterized. NCBI's taxonomy places the organism in Eukaryota, Metazoa, Chordata, Amphibia, Anura, Pipidae. The transcript has 2 exons. The record is from RefSeq and is a predicted model, not a curated record.